Molecule: long non-coding RNA, 498 nt
Organism: Eurytemora carolleeae
Lineage: Eukaryota; Metazoa; Arthropoda; Copepoda; Calanoida; Temoridae
Exons: 4
Source: RefSeq, a predicted model, not a curated record
GUUUUCAGAUUAAUAAUAAACAUAUGACAGUCUGUCUGGAGACAUUUAAUAUAGAUCUAGGAUUAAUUGUAUCAUGAAAAAGGAUGGUAACUAGUAUGCCUGGUAGAACCAGUAGAGUACAAUCUCUUAACAGACAUCAGAACGGUCAAGCUAGACAACAAACCGGUCGUCCUAGACAACAAACCGGUCAACACAGAUCCCCGUCCAGGCAUACUGGUAGAAGUUCACUAAAGAAAACUCCUGACAGAAGUUGAAACCCUAAAUCAGAAAUCUAAACACUAUAUCAAGAUGAGGAGUGAAAACGGACUCACUGUUUUACCAGAUAAAAGCUCCAUGUAGGUGUACACACUGUACAUAACAUAAAGUCUUUUGUACAUAGUUGUGCUUACACUCAAUAUACAUAGCUUUCUGUACAUAGUUUAAUAAAUCUUGUACAAUGUCCAUACCUGUACACUACAGUGUAAAGUUCAUAAAGCCUUAUGUACAUAAUUUGUUUAA